Molecule: transfer RNA, 72 nt
Filed under: Ovis aries (sheep)
Lineage: Eukaryota; Metazoa; Chordata; Mammalia; Artiodactyla; Bovidae
Rfam family: tRNA
About the family: Transfer RNA (tRNA) molecules are approximately 80 nucleotides in length. Their secondary structure includes four short double-helical elements and three loops (D, anti-codon, and T loops).
Source: Rfam by way of RNAcentral
UCCCUGAUAGCUCAGAGGGUAAAGCGUCUGCCUGCAAUGCUGGAGACCCGGGUUUGAUCCCUGGGUAAGGAA